Molecule: non-coding RNA, 1449 nt
Organism: Equus caballus (horse)
Lineage: Eukaryota; Metazoa; Chordata; Mammalia; Perissodactyla; Equidae
Source: RefSeq, a predicted model, not a curated record
GGCCAGUCUUCCUCAAAAAGGAAAAAAACCCCAAAACCCCGAAGUGAAAUAUUAAAAAUACUUGUUUUACAAUCUAACAUCACUAUGAUUUACAAAACACAUAUAUAUGAAAAAAAAACCCCCUUUGUAAUAACUAUGAACACCGCUUCCAAAUAAAGGCAUCUGUCCUAUUCACUAUUUAGGCAAGGAUUUUGGGGGGUUUUGUCUAUAAGGGAACAAAGGGAAUUCACUAUUCACACUGAAAUAAGUGGUAAUUAGAAUGUUACGUCUGCAAGAUAGCAAAAUAGUCCUAGUUUAUAUAGCAGUUUCAGCUAAGCCCCUCUUGUGCACGCUGCAGAUGGAAACUAUGAAAAUCCAUUCUCCUCCAAAUGCUUCAUUAAUUUAGAACUGGGUAACUCUGAAGAGCAGACAAGCUUGGCUAUGAUUACAUAUGAAGCUAAUGUACAAUUUUCUACAUUCCACAAAUGCAGAAAUAUGCUUCUCUCAUAUAAAGUUUUACACAGUUUAAAGAUAUAGAGUAUUCCAAGAAAAACAAUUGUACACGCUUUUAAGUUAUCCUGAAAGUUAAUUAACUUAUAAAUCUAAAUUUUUGGUUAGUUAUCCUUAUUCCUAAAGAAAUAUUUAUUUUUAAAGUAUUAAAUAUUCUGGAAAGAAAUCUUUUACUUGAAGGGAAAAAUUCAUUUUGCAAAAAUAAACAAAAUUCUAAAUUUAGAAAGUCUAUUAAAAAGACUCUAGUGUAAUCCUAAUCUGAACUAAGCAAAAACAUUUUCACUUAAUGAUUUAAAGACCGAUUACUUAAGGAAGAUUUAUUAUAAAAACAUAGCAUGCAGGAAAAAGAGCACUGGUCACUUAAGAAUGAGAUUUCUUGGAAAAACACUUUCUCUCUAUAUAUCCCUGUUUCUUCAUUUUUAAUAUUCUAGGUGUACAAGAUGGAAAAUUUGCUUCAUGAGAAGAUCCAUGGUUGUCUUGUUCAGUACUGGGCACAGUAGCCCAAAUAAGAGUGAGACUACAACAGAAGGCAAAGAGUGGAGAAGGAGAGAAGCAAGGAGUCUUUCCACUGCGCCUCAGGAGUUAGGUCUCUGACUUCAAAGGAGAAAGAAUAAAUCAUCUACAGGAAAGGAGUAAACCAAUGUGCCUCACUAAACCUCCAAAGGCGGCACCAGGCAGUUCUGGAAGUUGGAGCUGAUAAAGAAAGGUUAGUUGAAGGUCUGUUUAAGAAGCAGUUAGAUGUCCCCCACCCUUUCCAAUCCUGUCCCCAACGCCACCCUUUCCCCACUCUGGUGGAAGACAAGUUUUGUUCUCUGGAUAGGGUAAAACGAGGAAACUCUGAACUGAGGAACACCAGACAAAAUUGAAGGCACACGUACCAUGCUGAAAACUAAGUUGGGGUUUUUUUGGUGAAGGGGAUUGACCCUGAGCUAACAUGCAUUGCCAUUCUUCCUCUUUCUG